Molecule: long non-coding RNA, 893 nt
Organism: Malus domestica (apple)
Lineage: Eukaryota; Viridiplantae; Streptophyta; Magnoliopsida; Rosales; Rosaceae
Source: RefSeq, a predicted model, not a curated record
UCGACCCGAGUUCAAACUGAAAUGAUAUGAUUAUUUUGGUCAUGUUGAGAACUCAGAACCCUUUCUUAAUCUUUCCUGUUUUUGGAAUUGAGAAAUUGGGUUAAUUUUAUGAUGGUUCACUGAGAAUUUGUUAAUCCUUUUAAUGCAUAUGAGAUAUGGUUUCUGCUUUCUAAGAUCUAUUUCUGGUCUUUAGAAAUUGCUUGAUUUGGUAUUGUCAAAUGGAAUAUGAAUUUCCGUGUUGACUAUGUCAGUAUGUUGUUGUAGUUGUCUAAUUGGAUACGAUAUAAGUUGAGGUGUUGACAUGAAAUCGGACACAGGUGGUUUUCCUCGAUUUUGUGGGAUAAAGUUAUAGUUUGAUUUAGGCUAUAAAUGAUAACCAAAUUAAGUUCAAUGAGUUGUUACAAUCGGAGGCUGAUGGCAUUUUGAACUAUUUAGAUACAACUGAAGUGGAGAAAGAUAGCUCAAUGGCUUCCUAUGGUGCAAUGUACUUCAGAAUCCUUUAGUUCAGAAGCCAGCAGAAUCAAAUGACGAUCUUGGGCUAAGAAAGAAAUCAUUAUCUGAUAUUGGGAACCUACUGGAUUGUUUGCGUUUCAGAAGUGUGUUUUAAAGGUGAAUGCAGACGCUGCAAAACCCGGCUCAAAGAAUUGUAGAUGCUGAAGACAAAAAAGAAGCAGAGGAUGCAUUGCAAGCAGAAGGUUAAGAUAAAUUUUUCGUUAUGAAAGAGAACAUUGUCUUCAUUUGCCUAUGCUUAUUACUACAAAUUUAAUUUAUAUGCUUGAAACUUACGUUGUCAUAUCAUAGUUCAAUACGAAUAUAUUUGUGUUAUUGGAUAAGCAUCGGCCAACUGGAAGGCUAUUGACGUUUCUUAUAAAGAAAUCAGAGUCAUCUUCUCA